AUUGAACGCUGGCGGCAUGCUUUACACAUGCAAGUCGAACGGCAGCGCGGGGCAACCUGGCGGCGAGUGGCGAACGGGUGAGUAAUAUAUCGGAACGUACCCAGAAGUGGGGGAUAACGUAGCGAAAGUUACGCUAAUACCGCAUACGAUCUACGGAUGAAAGGAGGGGACCGCAAGGCCUUAUGCUUUUGGAGCGGCCGAUAUCUGAUUAGCUAGUUGGUGAGGUAAAGGCUCACCAAGGCGACGAUCAGUAGCUGGUCUGAGAGGACGACCAGCCACACUGGAACUGAGACACGGUCCAGACUCCUACGGGAGGCAGCAGUGGGGAAUUUUGGACAAUGGGCGCAAGCCUGAUCCAGCAAUGCCGCGUGAGUGAAGAAGGCCUUCGGGUUGUAAAGCUCUUUUGUCAGGGAAGAAACGGUAGAGGCUAAUAUCCUUUGCUAAUGACGGUACCUGAAGAAUAAGCACCGGCUAACUACGUG
Molecule: ribosomal RNA, 482 nt
Filed under: uncultured bacterium
Lineage: Bacteria
Description: partial 16S ribosomal RNA
Rfam family: Bacterial small subunit ribosomal RNA
Source: RNAcentral